Molecule: long non-coding RNA, 724 nt
Organism: Orussus abietinus
Lineage: Eukaryota; Metazoa; Arthropoda; Insecta; Hymenoptera; Orussidae
Exons: 2
Source: RefSeq, a predicted model, not a curated record
CGAGUUUCCCUUCGCCUAUCGAAUGACCAAAGUCACCGACAUUAGAACGAGACAAGCACCGAUCAAUAUACUAACUGGAUAUCUGAUAUCCUACAAAAUGGCGGGACGUUUUGAAGCAACGAAAGCCCCCCGUUCAUGGGCACAUAAAUUAAUACUUCUGUACACGCUCGUUACCUAUUUAAUAUCUCUGCCCUUAGGUACUUGGCACUAGGGUGCCUUGAAUUCGUCAAAAUGCUCCCCAGGGCGAGGAUAAAAUCAGAAACGACGUUAAUCCCCAGGACGAGUAAUUACCCCGCGCCAGGAUACCACGGAGGGAUCGGCACGACCUGGAAAAAAAAAAAUGAUACGCCUAACAUGCAGUCGUUGCAAUAAUCGUAAAACCCGUGCACUUCCUGGCCGUUUCCGAUAGCCGAUCUACCGGGAAUAUCGAUCUCCAGCUUCAGGGGUAAAGGAUGAUAAUGUUGAGUCCUCGUCCACGAGGAGGGAAAACUCGCCGAGGACUCAUCCAGAGGAGGACCAGCAAUGGACCGACGUAAAGAGGCCCUGAAUAAUUGCCCUGUAUAAGUAGAGUACACGGGAUACCGCCUGGUCCGGUACAGCAGCCAGCGGACCAAAUAAUUAUCCCUGACAUGCAACCAAGGUGGUACUUGUUGCGCUAAUCGCCCGUACGUCAUCUGAAAAGAAGCAUCUCGCGUCUGGCCAAUUAAAAAACUAAACCAAAGUA